Long non-coding RNA from Hemicordylus capensis (graceful crag lizard), 819 nucleotides. RefSeq lists it as uncharacterized. The record is from RefSeq and is a predicted model, not a curated record. NCBI's taxonomy places the organism in Eukaryota, Metazoa, Chordata, Lepidosauria, Squamata, Cordylidae. The transcript is spliced from 2 exons.
CACAUAUGCAGAGGCCCUAAUUGGGCCAGAGAAGGCCCAGACUGGGUCACCACCGGUCCUGGCUACUCUAGGGGAGGCCUGCAGGGGUGGGGAGCUGCCGCUCCCCCCACCCAUGGCUACUGCCACCGAUGAUAGUACCUGCAGCUAUUGGAUUCCAAGAAGCAAGGGCCACAACACCCCACAAAAAGAACAUCCAUGGAACAAGUGUACAGCCAACCAAGGACCCAAACUGUGUUUUUUAUGAAUGAUUUCUAUUCUGCGGAAGACAGUCCUCCUUCUGAAACGAAGAAAGGAGUUCCUUAGCAUACAAGGAUUUGCCUUUAUGGAUGUACUUUCCACCCACUUCCAAAUGUAUGGAGCAUAACAAUUGCCAAAGUGUGUUUGCUACUAUCUGCAACUGACAGAAGGCCUUGGGCUGCCCUACUAUAUAUGAUAUCAUUGGCAUAAAUGUAUUGCUGAUAGCAUGGCCGUUCCAGGAAAUGGUGCAGCUUUGAAUUACACACUCCAUGUGGCCUGCAGCUUAUUUUAACCAUGGAAAUAUCUGAAGGGGGACUAAUGAAAUAAUUCUGCAUUUUCUUUUAGACUGUGGGAGAAGGGAAAGCUAUAUUUAAAAUGCAUGCAUUAAUACACACAGAAGUGCCUGCUUUGUUAUAUUUAAAAUUAGCCUCAAAUCUUAACCUGCUGUGCAACACAGGCCAAGGUCUAGGCCAAGUGCCUAGACUGAAGGCACUAAUUCACUUCCAUUCCUAAGUCUUCUUUACUCAUAUCUUUCAUUUAAUCCUGGUUGGACUUGUUUGAAUAAAAUAUCCUCUGACUGGA